GUGCUUAACACAUGCAAGUCGAACGAAGCGGUUACAGGGAUUCCCUUCGGGGAGGAACGGUAAUUGUCUGAGUGGCGGACGGGUGAGUAACGCGUGGGCAACCUGCCCCAUACCGGGGGAUAACACUUAGAAAUAGGUGCUAAUACCGCAUAAGCGCACAGCUUCGCAUGAAGCAGUGUGAAAAACUCCGGUGGUAUACGAUGGUUCCGCGUCUGAUUAGCUAGUUGGUGAGGUAAAAGCCCACCAAGGCAACGAUCAGUAGCCGGCCUGAGAGGGUGAACGGCCACAUUGGGACUGAGACACGGCCCAGACUCCUACGGGAGGCAGCAGUGGGGGAUAUUGCACAAUGGGGGAAACCCUGAUGCAGCGACGCCGCGUGAGUGAAGAAGUAUUUCGGUACGUAAAGCUCUAUCAGCAGGGAAGAAAAAAAGUCCACAGGACUUUGGACGGUACCUGACUAAGAAGCCCCGGCUAACUACGUGCCAGCAGCCGCGGUAAUACGUAGGGGGCAAGCGUUAUCCGGAUUUACUGGGUGUAAAGGGAGCGUAGACGGCUGUGCAAGUCUGAAGUGAAAUGCCGGGGCUCAACCCCGGAACUGCUUUGGAAACUGUACAGCUAGAGUGCAGGAGGGGUGAGCGGAAUUCCUAGUGUAGCGGUGAAAUGCGUAGAUAUUAGGAGGAACACCGGUGGCGAAGGCGGCUCACUGGACUGUAACUGACGUUGAGGCUCGAAAGCAUGGGUAGCGAACAGGAUUAGAUACCCUGGUAGUCCAUACCGUAAACGAUGAGUGCUAGGUGUUGGAGGGUUUCCGCCCUUCAGUGCCGGAGCUAACGCAUUAAGCACUCCGCCUGGGGAGUACGACCGCAAGGUUGAAACUCAAAGGAAUUGACGGGGGCCCGCACAAGCGGUGGAGCAUGUGGUUUAAUUCGAAGCUACGCGAAGAACCUUACCAGGUCUUGACAUCUUGCGCUAACCUUAGAGAUAAGGCGUUCCCUUCGGGGACGCAAUGACAGGUGGUGCAUGGUCGUCGUCAGCUCGUGUCGUGAGAUGUUGGGUUAAGUCCCGCAACGAGCGCAACCCUUGUUACUAGUUGCCAGCAUUAAGUUGGGCACUCUAGUGAGACUGCCGGUGACAAACCGGAGGAAGGUGGGGACGACGUCAGAUCAUCAUGCCCCUUAUGACCUGGGCUACACACGUGCUACAAUGGACGGUACAACGAGUCGCAAGCUCGCGAGAGUAAGCUAAUCUCUUAAAGCCGUUCUCAGUUCGGACUGUAGGCUGCAACUCGCCUACACGAAGUCGGAAUCGCUAGUAAUCGCGGAUCAGCAUGC
RNAcentral lists this ribosomal RNA (1331 nucleotides) under uncultured bacterium. RNAcentral's name for it is "bacterial SSU rRNA". It matches the Rfam family "Bacterial small subunit ribosomal RNA", at positions 44 to 1357 of the family's 1533-position model. The record is from RNAcentral.